GUCGUAACUACAAUCCCCUUCCCUUUCCUGAAUGUGACCUACCGAAUUAGACUAUUUACCGGAUUUGUUAUCACAUAAGCAACACGACGGGUGCCGCAUGUGGAGCAGGAUCUGCUUACCCUUCCGGAGCACCUGAGAUCACCCCUAGUUUUUUAGUGGGGUUCGUGUUGUUUAUUCUUUAGUUUUCUAUGUUGUGUCGUGUGUGCUGUUGUUUGUUUGUCUUUUUCAUUUUUAGCCAUGGCGUUGUCAGUUUGUUUUAGAUUUAUGAGUUUGACUUUCCCUUUGGUAUCUGUCGUCCCUCUUUUA
Molecule: long non-coding RNA, 306 nt
Filed under: Mytilus galloprovincialis (Mediterranean mussel)
Lineage: Eukaryota; Metazoa; Mollusca; Bivalvia; Mytilida; Mytilidae
Source: RNAcentral